CUAAACGCAAUUUAUCAACAACUCAGAUGCAGUGAAUACAUUAGUUUUACAGAGACUAUUACUUCUUCCCAAAGAAUACCUGAAACACACGCCCUUCAUAAAGUUCCCAUAAGUUAAUCGUCUACAUACAUCCACAUAGUAUUUCAUGGAAGGUGAUUGCUUCAAGAAUUCUUUUAUUUAUAUGAUUCAUGACUACAAUAAGCCUUUGCAGCCGCUAUGCCAAAACUCAUAAUCACUGGCCAGAGCAGCUACAUGCUUGAAACAACUAACUAUAAAUUUCAAAGAAGAAAUCAGGAUUAAUCUACAGCACGAGUUGUUGCAUGCGUUGGACAUGCCAAUUUAUAUGCUCCCUAUUACCCUCAAGAAGGAAAAAAAGAAUUAUUCCUUUUUGCCGCAGUAGUAAUGCAAUCCAGGAACUCAUCACCUUUUCCUAUUUAUUCUGAAGCAGUACUUUAGGAUUCCCUUCCUCUAACAAAGAAAACCAAAAGCCAUUUAGUCCGUGUUUAUCGCUUGGAACAUGAAAAUGACAUUGGGCUAUGCUUUAAGGUAGAAACAUCAAAUAACUCCAUGAACCUUUGAUCUGAAACCCUAGCCUUGGCAGCUGCAAACCUCUGGUACUCGUCGAAGAUGGAUGAUAGGCACCACCUUUGCAAUUUUCUAAAGCAACCCACAACACAACCAGUUCGGUGCUUCCCUCGUUUACAAUGUAUCAAAACUGGGUGAUUCCUCAUAUCAAGGACAACUUUUAAUGCUUCGCGAAUUGUGUCCUCUGGAAUGUUUACAAAAGGCUCCUGGAUAAUUAAAAUUAUCAGUUGGCAACAAAGGAAAAUUUUCCAAAGAUCAUUAAAAUCAAAACGUUAAAAAUAAAGACCUUUACCUAUUAAUAUUUUACUCUCAAAAUAAUUAAGAAAUAGAAACCAUAACUAUCAAACAAUAUCUUCAAGAAUUAUAUAUUGGAAACAAACAUGCAGAUGAUGCAAAGUUAUCUCAUCAAAACUCAUGCUCCCAUCAGCCCUCAACUUAUUGUCUCUAUAUUAUUCAGCCAACUAUAUGACCAACACAAACCUUGUGAUUGUUUUUUGGUUCCAUAUUAGCCAGCUCAAUAGCAUAUUUAUGCUGAUAUUAAUAAAUCUCAGCUUGGCUUAGCCUUAUGCUUACUCAAUCUCCAACUGUCUACUUCACAUGCACAGCAGUAUAUUCAUGCUAAUAAUAAGUAAUGGUACAAUUAUUAUUGGCUAAGUCAAUUCUUAGGCUUACUACACCAUCUCCAGCUGUCUUCUGAAUACUUUCUGCCCCUCCAAGAUAUCUGCUGGCACAAUUGUGUUACAUCAAUUUAGCCAAAAUUAUCCAGUGCAUUCUUGUUUUUUCACAAGACAAACUUUUUACAAAGUUGAAAGUUGCCUCAAGCAAUACCAUAUCUUAAGCAAUACUCACUCAUCUGUCCACUGGGUUAUAAUUUAUUGUUAUUAACCACUAGUGGUGUGGACAUUUGUUAUGAUCCUAGUUGGACAAUGUAUGGGACUUGGAAUCCCAAAUAGAAAGUAUGAGAUUUCAAUGUGGAGUUCAAAUAGACUUGCACUCUCCCACCUCAAUAGCUAGCUUUUGGAGUGUGGCUAUAGUAAGUCUAUAACAAUUGAUACCAAAGUUGAUCAGUGCCUGUGCACAGCCAGAGACUUGAAAAUGGGUACCCAGCAGGCCAGAUUAAAAUCACUGGCAGCUUUGUCAAACUCAGAAGGGGGUACCCUACAAGCGAGAUUAAAAUUAACAGUAGCCUCAUGAAAAAAAUAUCUCGAACCCAGCCAGUGUCAGUAGCAGUAAGAGCUGCCAAGGACAUUGGGUGUGCAUCUGCAAGGGAAUUUUAUGAUUCUAGUUGGGCAAGUUAUGGGACUUGGAAGUGCAAAUUGAAAGUAUGAGAUUUCAAUAUGGGGUUUAAAUGGACUUGGGCUCUCCUACCUGAAUAACUAGCUUUUGGAGUGUGAUUCUCCGAAGUCCAUAAUAUCAUUCUUCCUAUUCUCCUGCAACUAUAUGAUUACAGUGUAUAGCACUCAUUACCAUCAUGGAAAGCAACGGUACAAAGAAUGACAUUUUUCCUUACAUAUUGGUUAGAUAUUGACAAUGCAUCUAUGAUAAUUGCUGAGAGUUUGACUGGCAGGCUUGAGGACUAAAAAGCAGUCACUGACUCACUGCAGGCAAAAUAUUGAAGAUGAAAACUCCCCCUAGAGUUGAACUUUGCUUUGUGAUUGGGUAAUAGCUUAAAAAUGCAAGUUAAAGCUAAGAGAUGUCCUUGGCACAUAAGGUAUACCAACCAGGGAAGAAAAAAAUUAGCAAACUUCAUGUUAGCACUCGAAUUUCCACAUAAGCAUGACAUGAGAAGUGCAAAGUUAACUCAACUCAACUAAGCCUUU
RNAcentral lists this unclassified non-coding RNA (2405 nucleotides) under Hevea brasiliensis (rubber tree). The record is from RNAcentral. Lineage: Eukaryota; Viridiplantae; Streptophyta; Magnoliopsida; Malpighiales; Euphorbiaceae.